GGUCAGGAUGAACGCUAGCGGCAGGCUUAACACAUGCAAGUCGAGGGGCAACGCGAGUAGCAAUACUUGGCGGCGACCGGCGCAAGGGUGCGUAACGCGUGAGCAACAUGCCCGUAUCAGGGGGAUAAUCCAGGGAAACUUGGUCUAAUACCCCAUAGUAAUUUUUGUAAGGCAUCUUAUAAGAUUUAAAGCUUUGGUGGAUACGGAUUGGCUCGCGUGACAUUAGCUGGAUGGUAAGGUAACGGCUUACCAUGGCUAUGAUGUCUAGGGGUUCUGAGAGGAAGGUCCCCCACACUGGAACUGAGACACGGUCCAGACUCCUACGGGAGGCAGCAGUGAGGGAUAUUGGACAAUGGAUGGAAAUCUGAUCCAGCCAUGCCGCGUGAAGGAAAGAAGGUCCUAUGGAUUGUAAACUUCUUUUGUAUGGGAGCAAUAAGGCCUACGAGUAGGUUGAUGAGAGUACCAUACGAAUAAGCACCGGCUAACUCCGUGCCAGCCGCUGC
Molecule: ribosomal RNA, 503 nt
Filed under: uncultured bacterium
Lineage: Bacteria
Description: bacterial SSU rRNA
Rfam family: Bacterial small subunit ribosomal RNA
Source: RNAcentral